RNAcentral lists this ribosomal RNA (460 nucleotides) under uncultured bacterium. RNAcentral's name for it is "partial 16S ribosomal RNA". It matches the Rfam family "Bacterial small subunit ribosomal RNA", at positions 338 to 795 of the family's 1533-position model. The record is from RNAcentral.
CCUACGGGAGGCUGCAGUGAGGAAUAUUGGUCAAUGGCCGGAAGGCUGAACCAGCCAUGCCGCGUGCAGGAUGAAGGAUCUAUGGUUUGUAAACUUCUUUUAUAUGGGAAUAAAGUGAGGAACGUGUUCCUUUUUGUAUGUACCAUAUGAAUAAGCAUCGGCUAAAUCCGUGCCAGCAGCCGCGGUAAUACGGAGGAUGCGAGCGUUAUCCGGAUUUAUUGGGUUUAAAGGGUGCGUAGGUGGUUAAUUAAGUCAGCGGGUAAAGUUUGUGGCUCAACCAUAACAUUGCAGUUGAAACUGGAUGACUUGAGUAUAUUUGAGGUAGGCGGAAUGCGUGGUGUAGCGGUGAAAUGCAUAGAUAUCACGAAGAACUCCGAUUGCGAAGGCAGCUUACUAAACUAUAACUGACACUGAAGCACGAAAGCGUGGGGAUCAAACAGGAUUAGAUACCCUGGUAGUC